This 1463-nucleotide ribosomal RNA is filed under the name uncultured organism. RNAcentral describes it as "SSU rRNA". It matches the Rfam family "Bacterial small subunit ribosomal RNA". The record is from RNAcentral.
UGGCGGCAGGCCUAACACAUGCAAGUCGAGCGGUAGCACAGAGAGCUUGCUCUCGGGUGACGAGCGGCGGACGGGUGAGUAAUGUCUGGGAAACUGCCUGAUGGAGGGGGAUAACUACUGGAAACGGUAGCUAAUACCGCAUAACGUCGCAAGACCAAAGUGGGGGACCUUCGGGCCUCAUGCCAUCAGAUGUGCCCAGAUGGGAUUAGCUAGUAGGUGGGGUAACGGCUCACCUAGGCGACGAUCCCUAGCUGGUCUGAGAGGAUGACCAGCCACACUGGAACUGAGACACGGUCCAGACUCCUACGGGAGGCAGCAGUGGGGAAUAUUGCACAAUGGGCGCAAGCCUGAUGCAGCCAUGCCGCGUGUGUGAAGAAGGCCUUCGGGUUGUAAAGCACUUUCAGCGGGGAGGAAGGCGUUAAGGUUAAUAACCUUGGCGAUUGACGUUACCCGCAGAAGAAGCACCGGCUAACUCCGUGCCAGCAGCCGCGGUAAUACGGAGGGUGCAAGCGUUAAUCGGAAUUACUGGGCGUAAAGCGCACGCAGGCGGUCUGUCAAGUCGGAUGUGAAAUCCCCGGGCUCAACCUGGGAACUGCAUUCGAAACUGGCAGGCUAGAGUCUUGUAGAGGGGGUAGAAUUCCAGGUGUAGCGGUGAAAUGCGUAGAGAUCUGGAGGAAUACCGGUGGCGAAGGCGGCCCCCUGGACAAAGACUGACGCUCAGGUGCGAAAGCGUGGGGAGCAAACAGGAUUAGAUACCCUGGUAGUCCACGCCGUAAACGAUGUCGAUUUGGAGGUUGUGCCCUUGAGGCGUGGCUUCCGGAGCUAACGCGUUAAAUCGACCGCCUGGGGAGUACGGCCGCAAGGUUAAAACUCAAAUGAAUUGACGGGGGCCCGCACAAGCGGUGGAGCAUGUGGUUUAAUUCGAUGCAACGCGAAGAACCUUACCUGGUCUUGACAUCCACAGAACUUUCCAGAGAUGGAUUGGUGCCUUCGGGAACUGUGAGACAGGUGCUGCAUGGCUGUCGUCAGCUCGUGUUGUGAAAUGUUGGGUUAAGUCCCGCAACGAGCGCAACCCUUAUCCUUUGUUGCCAGCGGUCCGGCCGGGAACUCAAAGGAGACUGCCAGUGAUAAACUGGAGGAAGGUGGGGAUGACGUCAAGUCAUCAUGGCCCUUACGACCAGGGCUACACACGUGCUACAAUGGCAUAUACAAAGAGAAGCGACCUCGCGAGAGCAAGCGGACCUCAUAAAGUAUGUCGUAGUCCGGAUUGGAGUCUGCAACUCGACUCCAUGAAGUCGGAAUCGCUAGUAAUCGUAGAUCAGAAUGCUACGGUGAAUACGUUCCCGGGCCUUGUACACACCGCCCGUCACACCAUGGGAGUGGGUUGCAAAAGAAGUAGGUAGCUUAACCUUCGGGAGGGCGCUUACCACUUUGUGAUUCAUGACUGGGGUGAAGUCAUAACA